GCCCGCUUGGCGGAAUCGGUAGACGCAAGGGACUUAAAAUCCCUCGGUCGUAAGGCUGUGCCGGUUCGAGUCCGGCAGCGGGCACCA
RNAcentral lists this transfer RNA (87 nucleotides) under Alphaproteobacteria bacterium. Its description in RNAcentral is "tRNA-Leu". It matches the Rfam family "tRNA". From Rfam's summary of the family: Transfer RNA (tRNA) molecules are approximately 80 nucleotides in length. Their secondary structure includes four short double-helical elements and three loops (D, anti-codon, and T loops). RNAcentral also lists the same sequence under 3 other names. The record is from RNAcentral. Lineage: Bacteria; Pseudomonadati; Pseudomonadota; Alphaproteobacteria.